GACAGAGGGUGCAAACGUUGUACGGAAUUACUGGGCGUAAAGCGAGUGUAGGCGGUCUGAAAAGUCGGGUGUGAAAGCCCUGGGCUCAACCCAGGAAGUGCACUCGAAACUGCCAGGCUAGAGUAUCGGAGAGGUUGGUGGAAUUCUCGGUGUAGAGGUGAAAUUCGUAGAUAUCGAGAGGAACACCGGUGGCGAAGGCGGCCAACUGGACGAAUACUGACGCUGAGACUCGAAAGCGUGGGGAGCAAACAGG
RNAcentral lists this ribosomal RNA (253 nucleotides) under uncultured bacterium. RNAcentral's name for it is "partial 16S ribosomal RNA". It matches the Rfam family "Bacterial small subunit ribosomal RNA", at positions 524 to 776 of the family's 1533-position model. The record is from RNAcentral.